This 218-nucleotide unclassified non-coding RNA is filed under the name Hevea brasiliensis (rubber tree). The record is from RNAcentral. Lineage: Eukaryota; Viridiplantae; Streptophyta; Magnoliopsida; Malpighiales; Euphorbiaceae.
GAACAGACAACAAGACCUUGGCCUUGUAUUUGCCAUAAAGAUCAUAGUGGGUAGGGCUAAGAUUGAGCUCUUUAGCAAUCUCAGCGAUGUGCAGAGGCUCCACUGAAUUAGCAAUGUCUAUAUCCGCAGGCACUGGAGAGUCCACCUGGAGUUUCCUCACUGUCUUGGAUGAACUCAUUUUGCAAAAAUUUGGCGAUAUCCUCCAAACCCAGAACAGA